RNAcentral lists this ribosomal RNA (631 nucleotides) under uncultured Gammaproteobacteria bacterium. RNAcentral describes it as "bacterial SSU rRNA". It matches the Rfam family "Bacterial small subunit ribosomal RNA", at positions 33 to 657 of the family's 1533-position model. The record is from RNAcentral. Lineage: Bacteria; Pseudomonadati; Pseudomonadota; Gammaproteobacteria.
ACGCGGCGGCAGGCUCAUACAUGCAAGUCGAACGAGAAAGUAUCUUCGGAUACGAGUACAGUGGCGGACGGGUGAGUAUACAUAGGAAUCUACCCAAUGGAGGGGGAUAGCUCGAGGAAACUCGAAUUAAUACCGCAUAAUCUCCACGGAGUAAAGAGGGCUUCGGCUCUCGCCAUCGGAUGAGCCUAUGCACGGAUUAGCUUGUAGGUGAGGUAAAGGCUCACCAAGGCAACGAUCCUUAGCUGGUUUGAGAGGAUGACCAGCCACAUCGGGACUGAGACACGGCCCGGACUUCUACGGAAGGCAGCAGUACGGGAAUAUUGGACAAUGGGCGAAAGCUUGAUCCAGCCAUGCCGCGUGUGCGAUGACGGCCCUCGGGUUGUCAAAGCACUUUAGGUAACGAGGAAAAGUUAGGUGUUAAUACCAUCUAACCUUGACGUUAAUUACAGAAUAAGCACCGGCUAAAAUCCGAGCCACGCAGCCGCAGGUAAUACGGAUGGUAGCAAGCGUUAAUCGGAAUUACUGGGCGUAAAGCGCGCGUACGGUGCGCAUAUUAAGUUAGAUGUGAAAUCCCGAGGCUUAACCUCAGGAACUGCAUCUAAAACUAAUCAGACUAACAGUACUAGAGAGG